GGAGGAUGGCAUCAUGCUGGGAUUUGCCGGGCAGAGAUGGGUGAGCACUGGGAAAGAAGAGGGUCUCGGGGCACAGGCUGUCUCCAUCCCCUGUGCUUCCUGGUCACAUGGUUCACUCCGGUGGUUGCUCUCACUUGCAAGUGGUUAAUUUCAAGAGCGUCAUGAAUGCAAACUUUGAGAAGGAAGGGAACUGGGGUUUCCAUUGCAUAGGGUGCAACUGGAUAUUUCCUCCAUGUUUCAUCGCUGGGACCUGGCAAACGGCAUUUCCUGGCACUCGGGAGCAGCGAGUCCCGACAGCAGCGAGGUCGAAUCCAUUUUUGGAGCCAAACGCCAGCAUUCUUUUGCAGUGAGUUCUGCAACCUCAAGGUAGCGCUUCCCUAGAGUGACCUCUAGUGAUGACCACAGGAGUUGCCCGAUUUUCCAGCCUAUGGAAGAAUCCCCCUAAAAAUAUUGGACUCCCUGCGACAACAGAAGCCUCUUCCUUCUUUCCCUCACUAAUUGCCCCGUGGAGGUGAUGACAAGUAGGGCUGGCAACAUGAGCAAGUUGAAGUCAAUUCCACUUGCUAAUCAAAACCGUGAAGUAUGCUUUCAUGUGAAACACAAAAGCCCUGAAUGUUUGAAUGUUCCCAACCUUCCGACCGUAGCAGUGAUCACCCCGCAUUGGAAUGAGACACUUGUCCACCUGCCAGGGGUGCAGCCUGCCUGGUCACAGGGUGGCAGUGAGCGUUUUCUCUCCAGAGAGGCCUUAAGACUUUAUAGGAAAAAUAAUGGUGAUAAUCUACAAACUGUUUUGAGAUCGUUGGAUGGUUGGUCGUAUAGGUGUGUCUACUCAGGAGCCAACAGCUAAAAGAUAUGGCCUGAUGCGUUUUUGUUUUAAUCCAUUAUUUAUUUUUUUUUGAAAAUUUAUUUAUUUUAUUUAUUUUUGGCUGCGUUGGGUCUUCGUUGCUGAUGCAUUUUUAAUAACUAUGGGAAAUGGAUCCAUGUGGGAUAGUUCAAAUGAACAUGGGGAAAACUGAGAUGUGUGUCUAAAAGGUUAUGACUCAAACAUUUUGCAACACUUUUACGAUGCAUUAUCUUAUUUUGCUUAUUUGCUAUUUUCACAACAACUCUGUUUGGAGAUGUAUUAUUUUCCCCGUUUUUUCCCUGGUAAGGAAAUUAAGUCACAAACAGGUGAUACCACAUAACAGAGAUUACAGUGACAGAAAGGCUAGCACUGGAACUGCCUCUCUCGCCUUAAAUCCUGUGUAUUUAUACGCUGUGUCUCCUGGGUCAGUCCUCCCAACCUCAAGCUGGAAACUGGGGUGUCAUCCUUCAUUCCUCGCUCUCACUCACCUCUCACUUUCAACCCAUCAGCAAGAUGCAACCACGUGUCUCCACAAUCCGUUGCUGCAACCUGAGGUUUCUCCCUGCAGUGAAGGUCUCAGCUCUGUGUGAGGCUUGCAGGAUCUUAGGGACCAGGGAUUGAGCCUGGGCCACGGAAGCGAAAGUGCUGAGUUAGCCACUGGACCAUCAGGGAACUCCCCGCUAGCAGAUUCUAACGUAAGAGCUUUUGGAACUGAAAAAUAAAGAGUUACUCCUACAAGCCUCAUCUUCUGCCACUCCCCGGUUACGAAUCGAACUACUUAGCAUUGCACGGAACACGACUCUCACACCUUGGUUCCUUUGUACGUGCGUGACGUUCCCUUCACCUGGAAUGCUCUUACCCCUGCUUCUCUGGCGAACUCCUACACAUCCUCCAAGACUCGGCUCAGACGUCACCACAAUCACCUUCUCUGGGUAGGCUUUUCUGAGAUGGGCAGAGUAGCGCCCCCCCCCCCAACUUUUUAGCUUCCUCAGCACUCUCCAAAUAAUUCUAAAGGACUUAGGGCAUAAUUUGUUUACUUUUCUUCCACUCUUCUAGAGUGUAGAAUCUAGACCCUGAAUUCCUUGAGGGCCGGGAUUUCUGUUCGUCGUUGUA
Balaenoptera ricei (Rice's whale) is the source of this 1957-nucleotide long non-coding RNA. RefSeq lists it as uncharacterized. NCBI's taxonomy places the organism in Eukaryota, Metazoa, Chordata, Mammalia, Artiodactyla, Balaenopteridae. The record is from RefSeq and is a predicted model, not a curated record. The transcript is spliced from 4 exons.